RNAcentral lists this long non-coding RNA (795 nucleotides) under Physcomitrium patens. RNAcentral describes it as "long non-coding RNA (PPAT_LNC009061)". Lineage: Eukaryota; Viridiplantae; Streptophyta; Bryopsida; Funariales; Funariaceae. The record is from RNAcentral.
GAUUUGUAAAAUAAAGUAGGUGAUACUUUUUGGAAAAUUUCAUAAGUUUAGAAAUAGAUUUGUAAGUAAAAUUUUAAAUAUUUGUAGAUAUAUAUGUGUUCAAUACAUGUUGUGAGUUUGAGCUUGAUUGAAAGGUUGGAUCAAGAAUUAUUGAGGUUAAAAAAGAUCAAGGUUUUGAAAAGUAGAGUUUUAGGUCCAAUGAGGAAUUCUUAGAUUUUUUGCAAUCUAUUAGUUGGAUUGGAAUAAAAAUUAUGUAUGUAAAUAAUAGACUUAUUUUUCUAUAUAUAUAAAAAAUUUAAGAUCAAUCAAAUAGUUGGAUAAGGAGAUAUUGAUGCUAAAAAUUUAACAUUUAGAUUGAUCUUCUUUUAGUGAAUUUGAUCUUCUUCAAAAAAUUUGUACUUAUUUUCAACUUAAUUAUUGAGAGGUGUGCAAAUUUUGAGUUAAAAUCAAUAGUUCAUUCAUUAGUUACUAAGGUUUAAAUAUAUUGUAGAAAUUACUUUGAAUUAUUUAGGGUUUGUUUAGAAUUUGUUUAGGAUUUGGUUAGAAUUUGAUUAAGAUUUAUUUAGGAUUUAUUUAGGAUUUGCUUAGGAUUUGGUUAGGAUUUGUUUAGGAUUUGAUUAGGAUUUUUUUAGGAUUUAAUUAGGAUUUAUUUAAGAUUUGACUAAAAUUUAGUUAAGAUUUGUCCAAGAUUUGAUUAAGAUUUUUUACGAUUUGACUAGGAUUUAUUUAAGAUUUGAGUAGGAUUUGACUAUAAUUUGAUUAGAUUUUGAUUAGGAUUUAAUUAAUAUUUCUAUU